CAGAGGUUUUGUUCAAAUCCCAGCUCUACCACUGUUCAGCUCUGUGACCUGGGGCAAGUUGUUGAACCUUGCUAAUCCUUGCUCUCCAGUUCUGUAAAAUGGGCAGAACUGGUUUAAGACUAGGAAUAAUGUACUUACUCAAUGAAUGAUAAUUAUAAUUAUCAUUAUCAUCCCAUCUGGCUUGAGCAACCAUCUCUUGGGGCUAAGAAGGCACACUUUUCUCACAAGUUAAGCCACUCACCAAAGCAAUCAGCCAUCACCUGCCUAGGUUUUCCUCAGCCUGGAUUCUCUGCUGUUGUGACUGAUGGAGAACAGAGAUGAAGUUCUGAGCUUCUAUAACAAACACCAAGAGGAAAACAAACUCUGAGCUCUCUGGGAUAGAGGGCCAUUCUCCUCCUGAGUCCUUUUGUGGCAGCUGCUCCCCUAGUGCCUGGAUGGGGGAUGCUAUGAUUGGCCCAGUGUUUCUUACUUAACCCCCUUCACUUUCUGUUCACCAUGGAGAAGACUCUGGCCCCAGCUCACCUAAAAUACUGUUCUCUUUCAUGGACUUGAUGAGGUCUUUGCCACUGUGUAGUCCAACUCCUUUACAAAUGCAGAAACUGAGGCUCAGAGGGGGUGAUCUAAUCAAGGUUCUUCAAAAAUUUAGUUGUGGAUCUGAUGCUAGCACCCAGGAAUUCUGGGGCACCAUCUCUUCCUCUGAGCUCACUCCCCUUUGAUCUGGCUCCUCAUAGCUGACAGGGAGCUCUUCUUAAGCCUAAAGGCUUUAAGCAAACCAAUCUCCAUCACUUGCCCCUGCUCCUCCUUCUUCAUGCUCCCAAGGGUGUGCUGGGAGAUUAGCCUCUGCAUCAAGAAACCUGUCUCUGCUGUGUGACCUUGGGCAAGUCACUGUCUCUCUUUGGGCCUCUGUCUAAUGAGGAUGUUGGAACACCUGAUCUCCAAAGGUAUUUCCACUCUGAUAGUCACAAACUCUGUGCAGGUGAGCUCCAACCCUCAGGUCUCAAUGAUACCCAGAUUCACUUGAGCCCAUACUGACAGGUGAGCUUUCCCAUCCAGUCUUGAAUGCAGGCUUCACAUCCCGAUCACUGAGCUUAAGGGAUUCGAGGCAGGCAUGAGGACCCUUUAAUGCAAUGAUGGGUGUACCACGAGGCUGUACUGCAAUCAACAAACCAAACCCUCUCCAAUACAGAGUUUAGUUGGAAAGACUCCAUCCUUGCUGGAGACCCAUGAAUCCACCACUCAGUUCCCUUUAAACAACCUGGGCUCUUUUGGGGAACUCUCAGGAAUGCCAUUCUAGAACUGGGGCUCCCUAGGCAUGGCCAGCAUCAGGUCUUUAGCCGUUCAGAGCCAAUUCUGGAAGAUGGCCCCAGCCCACGUGCUCACACAAAUCUCUUUGGGCAUCAUCCAACACUGCCCCCCUCCCAGCCCCCUACUCCCACCCCGCCUGAUCAGCGUUUGGAAAGGAACAGGGGCAGCUCCUCCCUGGGCCCAAGAGACUCCCUGCCCAGGAAGCCAUAUCCCGCCAGCACCUCCCGUGCUCCCCCAGGGCCACACCUGCAGAGGGAUGAUAAGGGAAUUGGAUUCUCCAGCAACACCAGAGGCACAGUCCAAAGAUCCAGAAUAUUUAGCUGUGUUUACCCGCAAUAAUCAGCUUCUCAAAGACGUGUCACUGGGCAGCUCUUGCUACAUUGAUUAUGCUGCCUCAUAUUUUUGGCCCCCGGGGGCAAACAGCUCUGAUUAAUAUUUCACAACACAGGUUUUUUUUUUUUUUUAAUAUUCCUUUCUUCAUGUUGUUGCCUUUCUCUCUCUCUCUCUCUUUUUUUUUUUUUUUUUUUUUUUCUUCCUCCCGAGCCCCUGAGAGCCUGAUAGAGAGACACGGAAUAUUUUACCGUCUCUUGUGUCUGCCUGCUCCAGUAAUCAGCGGACUCAAUCACGCUUGCAGUGUUUUUAUGAAUUAAUAACAGGCACUUUGGAGGGCUAGCGGGGGAGGCAGGAAAUGCAAUCUAUGGAAGCUUAAUGAGCGCCGUGGGGAACAGCUACCUCGCUGCCUCCAACCCUGCCAUGCCACGCUCUAAAUCAUCCUUUCUGAGAUUACCCACUUCCAGAACAGCCUCGACAGCUUGUGUGGGGCUCCUGCAUGGCCCUCUGUCCCUGCUAGGCCCUCCCAAAAACAGGGAUCUGGGAGAGGCAGCCGAAGCACAUCUCCAUUUUAAUUUGAAAAAAGAAAAGGAGCAAAGGGAUCUGGCUUUGGCCAGAGAAACCGCCCCGCCCUGCAGGCUCUCGGCAUCUGUUGCUUUUCAACCUGGGUGAGAAGGGGUGAGGGCAGGGCAGGGAAGAUGGGCAGGUGGCCCGGGCAGGGCCCUAGGGAGACACAAUCCAGAGCAUAGGGAGGCCUUACUCCCUAUGGGUCUAGAAAUCUGUUCUUGUUGGGGUUCUCCAGGACUAGAUUCUAAAGGGCUAGGUGAUGCCACUGAAAGUCCCAAGGACUUGAGCUGUAUGUCGUGAUUAAAAAAUAUCUAGUCCAUUGGAGAAGAGACUUGUGGCUGCCUGAUGGGAGGGGGAGGGAGUGGGAGGGAUCGGGAGCUUGGGCUUAUCAGACACAACUUAGAAUAGAUUUACAAGGAGAUCCUGCUGAAUAGCAUUGAGAACUAUGUCUAGAUACUCAUGUUGCAACAGAACAAAGGGUGGGGGAAAAAAUGUAAUUGUAAUGUAUACAUGUAAGGAUAACCUGACCCCCUUGCUGUACAGUGGGGAAAAAAAAAAAAAUCUAGUCCAUCACAGUCUGAUGUAUAGUCCCACUGAGCAUGAUCAAGCCACAGUUCACACCACAUAACCGUCAUCACCCUAGUUUGACUACCCUCAAUCCCUGUUCAUGAGACCCAUCCACUGACCAUGAACUUGGAUGGUAGGGAAAAGUCAAUGGCUACAGAAGUUUCUAAGUAUUUACUCUCAACUCUCUUGUAUUCUGGUAACAGUUCAGUUCACACAUAAACUUUGAUCCUUAUACCACACUGUGAGCAGUGCCAAUCCAAACUUGAAUGCCACAUUCUUAAUGCCACCACAUUUGCAAAGGGAAACAUAAUCACCAAGUAAUCCAAGACCAUGUGGCCAGGGUCAGAGUCAUCUUUACCAACAGAACGAUGGGUAGUCAGAACUUUUUUUUUUUUUUUUUUUUUUGCUUUUUAGGGCAAAACUCAUGGCAUAUGAAAGUUCUCAGGCUAGGGGUCGAAUUGGAGCUACAGCUGCCAGCCUACACCACAGCCAUGGCAACGCCAGAUCUGAGCCACGUCUGCAACCUAUACCACAGCUCUCGGCAAUGAUGGGUCUUUAGCCCACUGAGCGAGGCCAGGGAUCAAACCCACAUCCUUGUGGAUUGGAGUCAGGUUCGUUAACCACUGAGCCAUGAAGGGAACUCCUGGGUAGUCAGAUUGGAAUUGGAAAGCUGUAUGGGAAGCAAGAUAUGUUUAUUUUUCUUCUCUUUCUCUCUUUCACUUUUUAUUUUGGCAAAUGUCAUCUAUACAAAAAUAGAAUAGCAUAAUGAGCCACCACAUGCCCAGCACUGCGCGUCAGUUAUUAAGAUAAAUGUUUGUAACCUUACCUUCUCCAUAAGGACAGGUCUCCCCCCACCAGGUGCCAUGUAUCCAGGAUGCUGGGAAACCAACGCGUUGCCCCCACGAGCUGCCCUCUUUAGAGGUACCAUGCAGCCCAUUCUCUUCUGGUGGCCCAGGCUUCCCCCUGGCAUCACCCCUCCCCCAUCAUUCUCCCUGAAGGACGCCCUGGGCAUGCAGGUGGGAGAGACCCUUCAAUCACGUGUUCUCAGAUACUCAGCUGUGCCUCCACCGUGGGAGAUGACUGGUCUCUUUCACUACAUUUUGCAUCUUCCUUAUUCAUUCCCAUGUGGUAACUUCUAGGACCUGGAAAACCAGAAAGCAAGAGCUUAGGAGCAUUGUACAUUACACCUGGGGCUCAGAGGCACCUGCUUGAGACCUGCAAGUCCAUCUCUAUAUGCAGCUGUUAUAAGUAACAGGAGAACUGGCCAAUCUCUUGGUCCCUGCCUGGUCUGCACCAUGGAGCUCCAAACACAGCAAGACCUGCGUCUGCACUCAGGGGCUCACCGUCCAGUGUUAAGAGUGCCUGGGGCUGUGGGAGAGCAAACACCAAUCACCUGGGGAGAUGGUGUGUCACCCCUUCGUGAACCAGCUACUGGGGAGGAAACACAGAGACGAUGCUUGGACGAUGAUGCAGGAGGAGAAUAGAGGGAGAGACUGGGAGAGAGGAAGAGGGGGAGAUAGGUGAAGGGUAAGACAGAAAUACAUGAACACAUACACACACCACUCGAUGUGCAGAGGCAUGUUAGAGAGCCAGAGCUAGGGGUAGGUGACAAAGCAAGAGGGGCAAGUCGGGUGGGAGUGAACACGGAGACUUAGGUCCCACUGGACUCUGUCGCGUGGAAGGGUGGGGCUCAGCAAGGUCCCAAGGCCCCACCUUGCACACAUGUCAUAACAGUUCUUAAGAUCACAGCUCACUAACCAUGUUCACACAAAACUGAAGAUCCCGAUGAGCAAACAGCACCCCUGUGUCAGCCACUCUCCUCUCACAAGGGAGCACUGCUUUUUGUCAAAACUCCUCCCCAAAACGCCUUCGACCAAAGCCAGGUGUUCUUGGGAGACUUGGGCUCACUGUUAGUUAUUUUCAGUAUUAUUAUACUUGUACCCCCAAAAGGGGACUGCAGACUAGCAGUAUCGGCAUCACUGGGACACCUGUGAGAAAUUCGGGUUCUCAGGCCCCUGUCCUGUCCCCUGAAUCAGAAUCUGCAUUUUAACUCCAUCCCCAGGUCAUUCGUGGGCGGCAUCAAGGGUAAGAAGCGCCUCUCUACUGCACUCUUGGGGACCCCUUCCCGGAACACCAACUUCUCUUUAUCGCUUCCCCACCCCCUCCGCUGGUUUGCUGCCAGCCUGGAGAAGUCCAUCUCUUCAGCCACGCUCUCAGGGACCAGGAGAUAAUGGCUUCAUAUUGAUGUCUCCCAAAUGCAUUUUAGUGAAAAUGUCUUAAAGAUCUAAAAGCCUUUAACAUCCCAGGGAAUGUAUUUCUAAUGAUACAAUUUCAGGCCCCUUGACAAGCCUUGACAAAAGAUAUUUCUAGGUAGGAAAGAGGCCUUCCUGACAUCGCUUAAAUUCUGUCAUGUAAUAAAAACUGGUAUUUGUAUGGCAUCUUAAUUUUACAAACUGUGUUUAUUCCAUCUCUCCUUUAAUGCUUCUACCACCUGAAAGACAAGCAAGGCAGCUUUUAGGAUCCCUAUGUUAUGGGGCGGAAACUUGAGCUCAGAGAGGUUAAGAGACUGUGGUGCCUGUGGCCACCCAGCUUCAGAGAAGCUGAGGCAGGCAUGGACCCCCAGGUCACCUCCCCCAACCUUGGGCUCUGUCUGGACAGGGCCACACGAAUGAGACAAUCCUGCAAGAAAGAACUGUGUGCAAACUGAGGUUCGCUUAUUUUUUAUUUUUUAUUUUUUUACACUUAGAAUCCCAUCUCAAAAGCACAGGAGUCAAAUGUCCAGUUCAGCGGUACUAUUUCCCCUAGGCUCUCAGCCCUAAACUAGGAGGUAGGCAACGGGGGUGCCCAAGAUCCAGCCCCUGCCCUUGGGAGCUAGAAUGUUAGGGCUUCAUUUUUUAAAAAAUCCUUCCAAGGAGCAGAAAUGUGUUCUCACAUUACAGCACCACCAAAAAACAAAAACGAACACAAAAGAAUUUUAUUUUUCCCGAAGAAAGUAGAAAUCUCUCUUCUCUUAAAAAUGAUCAACUCAGCUCCCAGUUCCCCCUCCCCCACUUGCAGCUAACAGGUGUUUCCCAGGAUGCCUCUUGCCUACUGCUUGCACAGAGGACAUGGGUUCCUAGAGCGAUGGAUCAGCACCUUUCACAACUCAGCCUAAGUGUUCCUGGUGCCAAAUCUAACCUCUACAAAACACGAAACCUCUUUUGUUUUUUUUCAGCAACACAUUUGAAUAAGCUUUUCUCAAAUUGGAUUUAAGGUGGUUUCACUUCCCUCUGCUCUUCUUCUAAUCAAAAAUUACCUUUUCUGUGUCCCAUUUCCUCUGAGCCCUCUAGAUAAUUUAAGCUAGUUUUUACGAACCACUUUGCAGGUAAAAGGAUUUAACUAAUAUUAGUAUUUUACUUUUCCCCAAGAAAAUAUACCUUUCUAAACUCAUCACUGGCCCAAUCCAGCAUUUUUCACCAAAUGUAUGUCUACAGAGGUCUAGUGAGGGCUUGAUGAAAAUGCCUUCCUGGUCAGUAGGGUUGGGAACUCCUGGAGGCUAGAAGCCCUGUCCCAUCCCACCUUGGAUCAUUAGCACUUUAAAGGCUCUGAGAAGUCCUGCAAGGUAGAAAUUUCUACAUUUAUUUAAAAUUUUAUUUUUUUAUUUUUUCUUCAUUUUUAUGGUUUUUUCUAUUAGAGCUGGUUUACAGUGUUCUUUCAAUUUGUGCUGUACAGCAAAGUGACCCAGUCAUACAUAUACAUACAUUCUUUUUCUCACAUUAUCCUCCAUCAUGUUCCAUCACAAGUGACUAGAUAUAGUUCCCUGUGCUAUACAGCAGAAUCUCAUUGCUUAUCUACGUCAAAGGUAAUAGUUUGCAUCUAUUAAACCCAGACUCCCAGUCCAUCCCACUCCCACCGCUUCCCCCUUGGCAACCACAAGCCUGUUCUCCAAAUCCAUGAACUUCUUUUCUGUGGAAAGGUUCAUUUGUGCUCCAUUUUAUAUUCCAGAUGUUGGUGAUAUCAUAUGGUAUUUGUCUUUCUCUUUCUGACUUACUUCACUUAGUAUGAGAGUGUCUAGUCCUAUCCAUGUUGCUGCAAAUGGCAUUAUUUUGUUCUUUUUUAUAGCUGAGUAGUAUUCCAUUGUGUAUAUAUCACAUCUUCUGAAUCCAUUCAUCUGUGGAUGGACAUUUAGGUUGUUUCCAUGUCAUGGCUAUUGUGAAUAGUGCUGCAAUGAACAUAUGGGUGCAUGUAUAUUUUUCAAGGAAAGUUUUGUCCAGAUACAUGCCCAAGAGUGGGAUUGCUAGGUCAUAUGGUAGCUCUAUAUUUAGUUUUCUGAGGUACCUCCAUACUGUUUCCCAUAGUGGUUGUACCAAUUUACAUUCCCACCAAGGGUACCCUUUCUCCACACCCUCUCCAGCAUUCGUUAUUUGUAGACUUACUAAUCAUUCCCAAUCUGACAGGAGUGAGGUGAUACCUCAUUGUAGUUUUGAUUUGCAUUUCUCUGAUAAUUAGUGAUGUUGAGCAUUAUUUCAUGUGCUUGUCAGCCAUCUGCAUGUCUUCUUCGGAGAAAUGUCUAUUCAGGUCUUCUGCCCAUUUUUUAAUUGGGUUGUUGGUUUUUUGGCUGUUGAGUUGUAUAAGUUGUUUGUAUAUUUUAUAGAUUAAGCCCUUGUCAGUUGCAUCUUUUGCACCUAUUUUGUCCCAUUCUGUAGGUUGUCUUUUUGGUUUUUUUUUUGUUUUUGUUUUUUUAUGGUUUCCUUUGCUGUGCAAAAGCUUGUCAGUUUGAUUAGGUCCCCUUGGGGUUUUUUUGUUUUUUUGUUUUUUUUUUGCUUUUAUUUCUGUUGCCUUGGGAGACUGACCUAAAAAAACAUUAAUAUGGUUGACGUCAUAAAAUGUUUUGCCUAUGUUCUCUUCUAGGAGUUCGAUGGUGUCUUAUGUUUCAGUCUUUAAGCCAUUUUGAGUUUAUUUUUGUGCAUGGUGUGAGGAUGUGUUCCAAUUUCACUGAUUUACAUGCAGCUGUUCAGUUUUCCCAGCACCACUUGCUUUCACCUCCUUAGUAAGGUUUAUUCCUAGGUAUUUAAUUUUGGGGGGUGUGAUUUUAAAAGUUAUUCUCUUUUUGUAUUCCUUUGCUAAUAUUUCAUUGUUAGUAUACAGAAAUGCAACCCAUUUCUGAAUGUUAAUCUUGUAUCCUGCUACUUUGCUAAAUUUGUUGAUCAGUUUGAAUAGUUUUUGCAUGGAGUCCUUAGGGUUUUCUAUAUAUAGUAUCAUGUAAUUGCACAAAGUAACAAUUUUACCUCUUCUCUUCCAAUUUGGAUUUCUUUUGUUUGUUUGAUUUCUGUGGCUAGAACUAUGCUGAAUAAAAGUGGUAAGAAUGGGG
RNAcentral lists this long non-coding RNA (8119 nucleotides) under Sus scrofa (pig). RNAcentral's name for it is "lncRNA (ENSSSCG00055001682.1)". Lineage: Eukaryota; Metazoa; Chordata; Mammalia; Artiodactyla; Suidae. The record is from RNAcentral.